UAGAGAAAUUCAUCAAUUAUGAUUUUAAUAUUUUUUAUAAUAUUAUAAUAAUGGUGUGCAUUUUUUCUAUAAAAGGACAUUGUAAUCUAUUAACAUAAAUUAAUAUUUAUCAUAAGAUCAUUUCGCGUAAGUUUAUUCAAAUUAUUUUGCUUGCAAUUUAAUAUCGAAUAAAUGCAUUUGAUUUGAUAAAGUGUUGAUAGAUUUAUUAUAUAUAGUGCUUAAAUAUAUAAUAUAUAUUUUAUAAUAGCAUAUAAAUCAAUGAUUUUUAUGUUUAUUUAUAUGCACUUAUAUGAUUAACAAUGCGAAAGAUUCAGGAUACCUUCGGGACCCGUCUUGAAACACGGACCAAGGAGUCUAACAUAUUUGCAAGUUAUUGGGUAAUAAAACCUAAUAGCGAAAUUAACAUAACUUUAAUAAUGGGAUUAGUUUUUAGCCUAUAUUAAUAGUCUAUUAAUUCAAAUCCCGGGGCGUUCUAUACAGUUAUGUAUAAUAAUAUUUAUAUUAUUUAUACCUCUAACUAGAGCGUACCUUGAGCAUAUAUGCUGUGACCCGAAAGAUGGGUGAACUAA
RNAcentral lists this ribosomal RNA (569 nucleotides) under Stevenia actenata. Its description in RNAcentral is "eukaryotic LSU rRNA". The stretch from base 345 to 569 matches the Rfam family "Eukaryotic large subunit ribosomal RNA", at positions 665 to 834 of the family's 3401-position model. The record is from RNAcentral. Lineage: Eukaryota; Metazoa; Arthropoda; Insecta; Diptera; Rhinophoridae.